Molecule: long non-coding RNA, 1619 nt
Organism: Solanum pennellii
Lineage: Eukaryota; Viridiplantae; Streptophyta; Magnoliopsida; Solanales; Solanaceae
Exons: 2
Source: RefSeq, a predicted model, not a curated record
UCUGCAUACAAGUAUUCACAAGCUAUUGAUCUAUACACACAAGCAACUGAAUUGAACAAUGAGAAUAUUGCAUAUUGGGCUAAUUGUGUGCUUUCUCGCACUAAAUUGGAGGAAUGGCAGAACAACACAGGACACACGAAAUAAAUAGCUAUUGAAUUGACUCUAAAGAUUCAUAAAUUAAUUUUAUGUUUUAUACUGAAUCUAGUCUCUAAAUAAAUUAGUAUCUGGUACAACUUAAGAGUGGGAGCGAGAAAAAAGUGCGCUGAAACACACAUUAAGAAAAUUAAAAAAUAAAGUUGAAAGAUAUAUUUUCUCUAAACCUCAUCAGGCAUCAAUCAAGGCAUCAAAAGUAAAAAUUAAAAUUCUUAAAAAAUAAAACAAAAACUCUUUGUUUUUAAACAUAUAUAGUAUUGUGCCCUAGCAGCAGCUCUUGUGCAAAUCACUAUUCUCAACUAACACUCAGCAAAGAAUGGAGUUUGUAGUUAGUCACGGCAGCUACCCCAAGACAGAGAAAGCACAACAGUUCGCCCAAAUCUAUUUCCGUCUUCUCUAAUCUUGGGCACUAUUUAUACGGGAUGAGAACAAAGACUUCCAAACCUUACCAUGUCUUCUAAUUGAGGAAAGGGAGUGAUACCUCAGAAUUAUGUGGUUCUUGAGAAUAUGAAAGUUAAUACUCUAUUUCCAUCUUCUAUAAAUGAAGUUAUAUACUACACCCAAAGAGAUGAGACAAGUAAAUUUUUUCUUAUCUAUUUAGAUUUUAAGUCAACUUCUUGAUUGUUUCUGCUAUUUCAUAUUAUGUUUCUUUUACAUUUCUUAAGUAUUUGCAGAUUACGCUUUGCUCUAAUUUGCUUUUUUGUUCAUAUUUGGUUGUUCUUUCAUGGAGAGUAUAAGGAUUCCGGAAUAGCAUGAUACUUUUCUAGUCCAACAUUUUCUAUCCAAACUCGAACUUGUGCUCAUUUAAACUAAAAUUUUCUUCUGUUCUAGUUUAUGUUUAAUUCAUUCCACGACUCCUGGUCGUUUAAAUCUCUCUUUUCGUACUCGUCUAAGCUCUGUGUCUUUGCAUGAUUGGUUUUUAUUAAGACUUUCUUGUUCAUGUGCACUCUUUACGUCAUUAACAAUUUCAACAGAUUGACAACUUACGUAUUCUGCUAACAAAGUAAGUUUCAUAUACCCUUAUUGAUUUACGUAUAGUCAUUUCAAUGGUUAUUGCAUAAUUGAACUAUUAGGAAACCACUAAAAUGGUCGAUCAUGUUGGGUGAUUUUAUCCUCUCAACUGGUGGUUGUGUGAUUACCUGUAGCCUUUGACUCUCAGUUAUUGAACCAAUGCUUUAUAGCUCAAGUUAUUUGUGUCAUGAUGCGUAUCUUUGCUUGACUUUUGUGAGAAAAAUUUAAUGAUGUUAUUGAAAGAAAAAAAUGUAGUUCCCCAACUAUAUACAUAGUGAAACAUCUAAUAAAAAAACUAGAUCCCUGUUAAUAGGUAUGAUCAUUGGGCAAGAAUCAUUUAGAUCUGAUUCAUGAUACAUAGCUGAAGUUGAUUCCUCUGUAUUUUACUUCCUACAAAACUAUAUGUACUCGUCUUUUUCAUCUAUUUUUUAUACACUACAAUGCAGGUUACCUUA